This is a long non-coding RNA of Pecten maximus, 1799 nucleotides long. RefSeq lists it as uncharacterized. The record is from RefSeq and is a predicted model, not a curated record. NCBI's taxonomy places the organism in Eukaryota, Metazoa, Mollusca, Bivalvia, Pectinida, Pectinidae. The transcript is spliced from 2 exons.
UGUGAUAAGAAAUAAUUAACAAACAUUAGUGUUCGUUUAACAAACCACUGUCCUAAUCCACCUCAAUGCUGUGAAGCUCUGUUUGCGCAUGGAAUUAAAAACUCAAACACAAAUAUAUAUGGCGGAAAAUGGCACACUUUCUUGUUAAAGUGGCCUUUGUAGUUUAUUUUGCAUGAUAAUGAAUUCUUUUAUAAUUCCAGAUUAGAUAAAGGAAUGUAAAUAUAUGUAAACCGCAAAGGUGAGCGGCCCAAAUUCAGCCAAAAUGACAACUGUCAUCCGCCACCCAAGCAGCACUGAGGUAGAUUAGGCCUUUUUUUUAUUUUUUAUUUUUUUUUUAAACUAAAAAGUAAAAAUAAAUAAAUAAAAAGUUUCUGAGGUAGGAGUAUACACCCCUCUUUGUUGACAUAAACAUCUUUAUAUAUACAUUCUAUAACUAUACUAAAGUAAAGACCAGACAGGGACCCACGCGCCUGCCAAGUCUGCAUAGUACAUGACUAAGGACUCAUGCGCCUACCAAGUUCAUAAGUCUGACUAGACUGAUAAAAUUGUCACAAACAUAGAUAUAUAUGACAGGGACCCACGCGCCUGCCAAGUUUAUAAAGUCUGACUAGACUGAUAAAAAUGUCACAAACAUGGAUAUAUAUGACAGGGACCCACGCGCCUGCCAAAGAUCCAUAUAUGCCUUGGGCGAAGUGUACAAUGUUUGAGUAGCUGAGAAAAAUGUAAAACCACAAACAUAUGCUGUCAGGGACAAAUAUCAUAGGAGUCUCACCAUAUGUUGACCCGAAACACAAAUAUAAGCAAGACUUAAAAUAAACUCAAAUAUAACCAAUACUAAUAAUCAGUACAGAGUAAUGAUUACAGGGACCCACGCGCCUGUGUCAAAACCCUGUGCUAAUUUUACAAACAUUUGAAAAUUGGGUUAGAAUGUCAAGAGCUCAGGGAAGAUUGUUUGAUAAUGGCUGAGCUCUUAUGUAUUUCUUGAAUGCAUCAGACUUCCAUCUGCCCAGCAAUCGAAUCUGAGAAUCGGACAUACCCUGAUGGACUGCUAAAGUAGCACCACCUAUGCGGAAGCUGUGUCCCUUAUAAUAAGUACUGUCUAAAUCACAAAAUUUCAAACAUUUUCUAACUACCAUGUCAAAAUGUUUACGGGGUAUGGGUUUUUUAUUUUGAUCCAGGAACAGACAGCCUGACUGGGCGCCUCUCUUCGGAAGGUAGUCUAGCAUAGCUUGAACAGGACAUAUAGAUGAAGUUACGACUGUAUUCAAGGUGAUAGUAUGUGCCUUCUGAGAACUGUUGUGUUUAAAAUGUCGAAAACAGACUUGCAUACUAGAAGGUUUGCUAUUUUGGUAAACAAUAUUAACAUCAGACACUUGAAGAACAUUGUCAGACUUAUCCUGUGCAGUCAUAACCAGCUCUCCCACUCUAGCUAAACCAUAGAAGGCUAAAGAAAAAAUUGCCUUGUACAAAAGUUGAUUAUACUGCAUUGGGUAUACAUACUGUAGAGAAUGUACCAGUUUUUGCAGAAUUGGUUUGGUGAUAGGAAGACGGGCAUCAUACUGAGGCAUCAAGCGAGCAGCACCCGCUACUGCUUUUCUUACCACGAAUGCUUUAGUUGGGUCAUGGGUAUUGUAACCACUAAUAUUAUGGAAAUAUGCUAUGGCAGAUAAGUUGGAAGUGAUGGUACUUGCAGAAAACCCUUUCUCAUGUAGAGAUGCUACAUACAAUGCUAUAGUGGCAUAGGACAAAGGUAGCGUGACUGUUUGAUGUAAAACAGAAUUACAAAAUGUACUCAAAUC